AAAAUCAAAGUGUAAAUUCAAUAAAGCACAAGGUUACCAACACAUAUCAAGCCCUCUUCAGUGUAUGUACAUCCUCCCACCACCUCCAUGUUUUCAGGUAAGAAGUCAGAUAGAUUCUGUCUCACUGAAGAUUACAUCUUUCUCCUCGUCCAUCCUCCAGCCAGUCCAACAUUGUCUUUACCUUCUACUGGCUUUUUGGUUUGCAUUUUCUGAGGCUGGUUUUCUGCCAUUCCAUCAGUUCUAUAAUUUAAACAAUCUGAUUCCAGUAAGUUCCCUCUUUUUGUUAUUCCUGCUUCAAUAAACCAGUGAAAGUCUCUAUAUAGGAUCUAA
RNAcentral lists this long non-coding RNA (330 nucleotides) under Homo sapiens (human). RNAcentral describes it as "HSALNT0091357". The record is from RNAcentral. Lineage: Eukaryota; Metazoa; Chordata; Mammalia; Primates; Hominidae.